CCAUGACGGACUAUCUGUGGACUCCAAAACGCCUUCAGUACACGCACACACCUCUUUUCCCUACCACUAGGCUGACCAUAUUGAUGUGGGAUUCCUUUAUGGCCCAUAUAGGCUACCGACAUAAGCUGCAUCCCAAGGCCCCCCUAACGGCACUAAAAACCAUAACCCAAUCACUUUCUCUUUCCCACUGGACACGAAUAGGUUUAGACAGACUUGAGCACCUCUUGGAAGACAGUCGUAAGGUAAUUCCCUUCUCAGAACUAAGGAGGAAAUGGAACGUGCCUGCCCAGGACACUUUCAAAUAUUUGCAAGUCAGGAG
This is a non-coding RNA of Pelobates cultripes (western spadefoot toad), 319 nucleotides long. The record is from the annotation of a GenBank genome assembly. Lineage: Eukaryota; Metazoa; Chordata; Amphibia; Anura; Pelobatidae.